RNAcentral lists this ribosomal RNA (466 nucleotides) under uncultured bacterium. Its description in RNAcentral is "bacterial SSU rRNA". It matches the Rfam family "Bacterial small subunit ribosomal RNA", at positions 340 to 793 of the family's 1533-position model. The record is from RNAcentral.
UACGGGGAGGCAGCAGUGGGGGAAUAUUGCACAAUGGGCGCAAGCCUGAUGCAGCCAUGCCGCGUGUGUGAAGAAGGCCUUCGGGUUGUAAAGCACUUUCAGUCGUGAGGAAGGUAGUGUAGUUAACACCUGCAUUAUUUGACGUUACCUACAGAAGAAGCACCGGCUAACUCCGUGCCAGCAGCCGCGGUAAUACGGAGGGUGCGAGCGUUAAUCGGAAUUACUGGGCGUAAAGCGCAUGCAGGCGGCCUGUUAAGUCAGAUGUGAAAGCCCGGGACGUUAACCUCGGAAUUGCAUUUGAAACUGGCAGGCUAGAGUCUUGUAGAGGGGGGUAGGAAUUUCAGGUGUAGCGGUGAAAUGCGUAGAGAUCUGAAGGAAUACCGGUGGCGAAGGCGGCCCCCUCGGACAGAUACUGACACUCAGAUGCGAAAGCGUGGGGAGCAAACAGGAUUAGAUACCCUGGUAG